This 1274-nucleotide long non-coding RNA is filed under the name Triticum aestivum (bread wheat). RNAcentral's name for it is "long non-coding RNA (TAES_LNC028598)". Lineage: Eukaryota; Viridiplantae; Streptophyta; Magnoliopsida; Poales; Poaceae. The record is from RNAcentral.
AAAGCCUUCAGAGUUGUUGAAAGUUGAAACUAUACAGUUUCAAUUUAUGUAGCGUCAUCAGGGUGCGGCUCAUGCUAUCAAGAUAUGCCAACCUCCAAAUUUAUUUUGUAUGCAAAUCUAUUUGACGCAAAUGCUUAAUGGUAUUGAUUUUACUCUGAAUACUGUGGGAGAUGUCAUUUCGAGACUGAACUAGCCUACUUUCUUAUAAUCCAUGAUCAUCACAUCACCGUAGCAUAUAGAAAGGGGUUGGUUCAUUGGUUCGUCCAGCGAUGACGUCAACUCGGACAAGGUAAUGACAUGUAAUUCUGAUGGUAGAUUGAGCUUUUUCAUUUUUAGUACAUCGAAUAUAUGAUCUCAAGGAAUGAUGAUUUUCUCCUUCCGAAUCAUUUGAUAGAUACUUCAAUGAUAAGCAACAAAUUUGAUAAAUUAGAGAGAGAUAUGCUUUCAUCAAUUGCUUACCCUUGAAGAAAUCAUUUUGUUCUGCUUUAUGAAAACCGCGCAGCAUAUACAUUCUGGUGUUGGGAUAAUAUGUGGACGUGAUUCAGUCGCUUAGUAUUCUGGAUUUGCGGUUUAAUCUCCUAAGAUGUUCAGUUUCAUGCAGAUGGUGCCCAUCGACACUGCUACCUUCCGAAGGUUGCCAUGCUAUGGAUUGACAACCAUGGGCGUGUUUCUUCCAUGCGCUGUAGAGCAGGUGGACGAGGAGAAGGGGCCAGCCCGAGCUGGACGACGGAGUGUCUUCGGAGGCGGAGGAGAGGACCAACAAUAGCAGCGACACGGUGGUGUCUAGCAGGAUCAAUAAGCUGACCCGCAGGGCUUGGCAAGGCCGUGAGACAUGGCCGCAGCAAUGGAGCACGUCUUUGGAAAAACGAACACGUCAGGCCAAUAAUAUAGACCUAUUAGCAUAUAUGCAUGAGACAGUACCGUGGCCUGCUCUGCUUUAUAAAUGAAAACUCUUCUGCUGCAGUUCUAUUUUACUCUCCGUACCUUAACUACAAUGUAACGUUCACAAGUACAUCAGCAUGACUGAUGCGCACAGUGACGCAGAGGAGGCGCGCCCAGGGCGCGCCCCAGCCACUAGUGCAUGUCACGGGUGCAUGCACGAACGCAUGCAGGCAUGGUCCUCGCCAACUGAGAUACUACCCGCUGGUGCUGCGUUGUAUAUGCUCAUACUCCUAUUUGGCAGCAACGAUCGAAUAGAGAAAACGGAUAAGCUGUCGGUGUCAGGGUCCUUUGGCGUGCGAGUGAACGCACUGCACGUUCAAAUGCAUGCAGCG